UACAACUAGCAGCAGCAGAAUACGUGCAUUUUAUGUGCUGUCGUUGGUGUUGUUGUUGUGAUGGUGCUUGUUUUGGUGAUUUUUGUAACAAAUGCUGCUUUCACAUGCUAAGCACCAAAAACAUUCAGUUACCUGUAAACUAAUGUGGUACAUGUUGUAAUGUUUCGUAAUAUUUGAAUAUGUCGGUUCUGUACAGUCCUGAAUGUAUUUUGAAAUAUAAAUAUUGAAAUUUCAAACAGAAUGGAAACAUGGAAAGUCAUAACUCUGUAUAAAUCCACGAAGGAGUACCACUUCACAAUCUACAGACCUGUUUCUUUACUUCCAAAAUUCUUCAGUAAUUGAUUGGACAUAUUCAUUGACAAACACAAGCUCCUGUCAUGCAGUCAGUAUGGAUUUAGGGCCCGUAGAUCAACAUCACUGGUUUUACUAGACCUAAUUGAAGAAAUUACUUAACUCUAUAGAUG
This is a long non-coding RNA of Thalassophryne amazonica, 464 nucleotides long. RefSeq lists it as uncharacterized. The transcript is spliced from 2 exons. NCBI's taxonomy places the organism in Eukaryota, Metazoa, Chordata, Actinopteri, Batrachoidiformes, Batrachoididae. The record is from RefSeq and is a predicted model, not a curated record.